RNAcentral lists this ribosomal RNA (910 nucleotides) under Pseudicius vulpes. RNAcentral's name for it is "SSU rRNA". It matches the Rfam family "Eukaryotic small subunit ribosomal RNA", at positions 36 to 956 of the family's 1831-position model. The record is from RNAcentral. Lineage: Eukaryota; Metazoa; Arthropoda; Arachnida; Araneae; Salticidae.
UUNCNAGAUAGCCANGCAUGUCUAGUACAUGCCGUAUUAAGGCGAAACCGCGAAUGGCUCAUUAAAUCAGUUAUGGUUCCUUGGAUCGUACCUUACUACUUGGAUAACUGUGGUAAUUCUAGAGCUAAUACAUGCAGCAGAGCUCCGACCUUCGGGGACGAGCGCUUUUAUUAGACCAAAACCAAUCGGACUCCGUCCGUCUCUCGUGGUGACUCUGAAUAACUUUGGGCUGAUCGCACGGGCCCGUCCCGGCGACGUAUCUUUCAAGUGUCUGCCUUAUCAACUUUCGAUGGUAGGUUACGCGCCUACCAUGGUCGUAACGGGUAACGGGGAAUCAGGGUUCGAUUCCGGAGAGGGAGCCUGAGAAACGGCUACCACAUCCAAGGAAGGCAGCAGGCGCGCAAAUUACCCACUCCCAGAACGGGGAGGUAGUGACGAAAAAUAACAAUACGGGACUCUUUUGAGACCCCGUAAUUGGAAUGAGUACACUCUAAAUCCUUUAACGAGGAUCCAUUGGAGGGCAAGUCUGGUGCCAGCCGCCGCGGUAACUCCAGCUCCAAUAGCGUAUAUUAAAGUUGUUGCGGUUAAAAAGCUCGUAGUUGGAUCUCAGUUCCAGACAGGUGGUCCGCCUAACGGUGGUUACUGCCUGUUCUGAACAGCCAGCCGGUUUCUCUUGAUGAUCUUCACCGGUUGUCUUGGGUGACCGGCAAGUUUACUUUGAAAAAAUUAGAGUGCUCAAAGCAGGCACGACGCCUGAAUAAUGGUGCAUGGAAUAAUGGAAUAGGACCUCGGUUCUAUUUUGUUGGUUUCCGGAACACGAGGUAUGAUUAAAAGGACAGACGGGGGCAUUCGUAUUGCGACGCUAGAGGUGAAUUCUUGGACCGUCGCAGACNACUAUGCAGNUUUUUUU